AUCUCUUAAGUAUUAAAGCUCCCUCAUUUUGAAAGGAGGCUUUAAGGCAAAGAGCUCUAAAAAGCUUCUGUGUUAAGAGUAUGCCGGGGAAGGUUUUCCGGUUUAUCCCGGAGGGCUUGUAGCUCAGUUGGUUAGAGCGCGCGCUUGAUAAGCGUGAGGUCGGAGGUUCAAGUCCUCCCAGGCCCACCAAUUACUCUAUCAAUUUCAUGAAGCGCUAGCGAGCUUGCUUAUAGGCAAGAAGUCUAUAAACCGAUAAAGCCUAUAAAUUUGUGAGGAACUUACAUAACUUGCUGGGAAAGGGCCUUAAGUGCACUUGUAAAAGGACUGAAGAGUGAUGUGACCACUUAAAAUGAGGUUACUCUUUGAGAGGUCCGUAGAGAAAAGACAUUUGUUUUAGCAAGGUGUUUACAAAGGGCAUUAAGAGAGGAGCUUUACUGUUUGCUUUCAGCAAUUGGAGAAUCAAAGCUCUUUAAAGGCAAAGGACUCCCAUUUAAAUCGGUUUUCCUGUAAGUUUUCUUAUUUAAGAGAUUGGAAUGGGUUAUGCUAUUUUAGGGGCCGUAGCUCAGCUGGGAGAGCACCUGCUUUGCAAGCAGGGGGUCGUCGGUUCGAUCCCGUCCGGCUCCACCAUUUAGAU
RNAcentral lists this transfer RNA (634 nucleotides) under Bartonella sp. Mt-2290. RNAcentral's name for it is "partial 16S-23S ribosomal RNA intergenic spacer". The stretch from base 113 to 186 matches the Rfam family "tRNA". Lineage: Bacteria; Pseudomonadati; Pseudomonadota; Alphaproteobacteria; Hyphomicrobiales; Bartonellaceae. The record is from RNAcentral.